Molecule: unclassified non-coding RNA, 499 nt
Filed under: Hevea brasiliensis (rubber tree)
Lineage: Eukaryota; Viridiplantae; Streptophyta; Magnoliopsida; Malpighiales; Euphorbiaceae
Source: RNAcentral
GAAAGCAUUUUAAUGGUCUGACCUGUACAAGUUACAAUGCACAGAGAGAAAAUAAAUCAUUUUAAAAGGGCCAAAUAAUAUCCAAAGAAUGAAAGUUUGAACAACGGAAGGUCCAAGUUAUCAUUUCAACGAAUUCAUUCAUCAUUGAAGCAGGAAACACAACUGAAGAAAAAACAUGAAUGAAUGAUGAGAAUGGCCAUCUGUUGACUCCAAAGAAAUCAGUUCAAGACAUUACGGAUUGUUUCAAUGCAAACAACAGAUUGGUUUCAUCACGUGAACAAAUCCAAACAUAGUUAGGAUGAUCAACAUAUCAUCUCAGAUAUGGAUGUGUGUGCAUGCCAAGAAGAUACUCAGAGGCAGGGAGAAAGAAAAGGUUCGAAGUUGAACAUGAAAAAUAGAAUGACUCAGUUAAGUAUAAUGUCACUCACACACCCUCACACAUUAGGGAGAGAGAGAGAGAGAGCUGUGGUUUUGGGAAGAGAGGGGAAUAUAAGCCUUU